Molecule: ribosomal RNA, 253 nt
Filed under: uncultured bacterium
Lineage: Bacteria
Description: partial 16S ribosomal RNA
Rfam family: Bacterial small subunit ribosomal RNA
Source: RNAcentral
UACGUAGGGGGCAAGCGUUGUCCGGAAUCAUUGGGCGUAAAGAGCGUGUAGGCGGCCCGGUAAGUCCGCUGUGAAAGUCCAGGGCUCAACCCUGGGAUGCCGGUGGAUACUGUCGGGCUCGAGUCCGGAAGAGGAGUGUGGAAUUCCUGGUGUAGCGGUGAAAUGCGCAGAUAUCAGGAGGAACACCAAUGGCGAAGGCAGCACUGUGGGACGUGACUGACGCUGAGACGCGAAAGCGUGGGGAGCAAACAGG